GACGAACGCUGGCGGCGUGCCUAACACAUGCAAGUCGAGCGGAGACAGUGAGUAGCUUGCUAUGAGCUGUUUUAGCGGCGGACGGGUGAGUAACGCGUGAGCAACCUUUCCCAGACAGGGGAAUAACACACCGAAAGGUGUACUAAUACCGCAUAAGACCACGGGAUCACAUGGUUCUGGGGUAAAAGAUUUAUCGGUUUGGGGUGGGCUCGCGUCCGAUUAGGUAGUUGGUGAGGUAACGGCCCACCAAGCCGACGAUCGGUAGCCGACCUGAGAGGGUGAUCGGCCACAUUGGGACUGAGACACGGCCCAAAACUCCUACGGGAGGCAGCAGUGGGGAAUAUUGGGCAAUGGAGGAAAACUCUGACCCAGCAAACGCCGCGUGGAGGAAGAAGGUUUUCGAAUUGUACAGCUCUUUCGGGUGUGAAGAUGAUGACGGUAACACCAGAAGAAAGCCCCGGCAAAACUUCGUG
RNAcentral lists this ribosomal RNA (473 nucleotides) under uncultured bacterium. Its description in RNAcentral is "bacterial SSU rRNA". It matches the Rfam family "Bacterial small subunit ribosomal RNA", at positions 28 to 507 of the family's 1533-position model. The record is from RNAcentral.